AUUUAUUUGUUUGUUUGUUUGUUUAUUUUUGUUUGUGUUUGUCCUUGGUUCUUGAAGAGGACUGUGACAUCAGGGAGAGGAUGACAUGACUUGCAAUUGACUUUGAUUUGAGUGAGGGAGGGCUGUGCAAGGUCACCAGCCUUACUUUCUCCUCCAGAGCCAUCUGGGUCCAGUGGCCAAAUGUUCAUCAGGAUGACUGAGAUGACCAGGUCUUUAUUAUCACCUGGCUGGAUUAUUGCAAUAGCCUUCUAACAAGCAAUUGGGGUUAAGUGACUUGCCCAGGGUCACACAGCUAGUAAGUGUCAAGUGUUGGUCUGAGGCCAGAUUUGAACUCAGGUCCUCCUGACUUCAGGGCCUGUGCUCUACUCACUGUGCCACCUACCUGCCCCGACAGAUAAAGAAAUUGAGUCCUGCUCAUUUUACAGAUGAGGAAACUGAGACCAACAGGGAUAAAUGACUUCUCCAGGGCCACACAGCUAGCAAGUUAUCUGAGGCCAGAUUUGAACUCAGGAAGACUCAUCUUCCUGACUCCAGGCCUGGAGCUUUAUCCGCUUUGCAACCUAACUGCCCAGGUAAAAAGAGGAGUAUGA
Molecule: long non-coding RNA, 590 nt
Filed under: Phascolarctos cinereus (koala)
Lineage: Eukaryota; Metazoa; Chordata; Mammalia; Diprotodontia; Phascolarctidae
Description: lncRNA (ENSPCIG00000037071.1)
Source: RNAcentral